GGAGGGAUGGCAGAGCGGACGAAUGCGACGGUCUUGAAAACCGUUGGGCCUCCGGGUCCCGGGGGUUCGAAUCCCCCUCCCUCCGCCA
RNAcentral lists this transfer RNA (88 nucleotides) under Actinomarinicola tropica. RNAcentral's name for it is "tRNA-Ser". It matches the Rfam family "tRNA". From Rfam's summary of the family: Transfer RNA (tRNA) molecules are approximately 80 nucleotides in length. The record is from RNAcentral. Lineage: Bacteria; Bacillati; Actinomycetota; Acidimicrobiia; Acidimicrobiales; Iamiaceae.